This 585-nucleotide ribosomal RNA is filed under the name uncultured bacterium. Its description in RNAcentral is "partial 16S ribosomal RNA". It matches the Rfam family "Bacterial small subunit ribosomal RNA", at positions 355 to 937 of the family's 1533-position model. The record is from RNAcentral.
UGGGGAAUUUUGGACAAUGGGCGAAAGCCUGAUCCAGCAAUGCCGCGUGUGUGAAGAAGGCCUUCGGGUUGUAAAGCACUUUUGUCCGGAAAGAAAUCCUUGGCUCUAAUACAGUCGGGGGAUGACGGUACCGGAAGAAUAAGCACCGGCUAACUACGUGCCAGCAGCCGCGGUAAUACGUAGGGUGCAAGCGUUAAUCGGAAUUACUGGGCGUAAAGCGUGCGCAGGCGGUUUGCUAAGACCGAUGUGAAAUCCCCGGGCUCAACCUGGGAACUGCAUUGGUGACUGGCAGGCUAGAGUAUGGCAGAGGGGGGUAGAAUUCCACGUGUAGCAGUGAAAUGCGUAGAGAUGUGGAGGAAUACCGAUGGCGAAGGCAGCCCCCUGGGCCAAUACUGACGCUCAUGCACGAAAGCGUGGGGAGCAAACAGGAUUAGAUACCCUGGUAGUCCACGCCCUAAAACGAUGUCAACUAGUUGUUGGGGAUUCAUUUCCUUAGUAACGUAGCUAACGCGUGAAGUUGACCGCCUGGGGAGUACGGUCGCAAGAUUAAAACUCAAAGGAAUUGACGAGGUCAUAGCUGUUUCC